AUGAUGGACUAUAGGACAGGACUGCUGCUUUUUACUGUCUGCUGGGCAGGUGUUGAUGGUCAGACUCUGACAGAAUCUGAAGCAGUGGUUAAAAGGCCUGGAGAAUCCCACAGACUGACCUGUUCAGCCUCUGGAUUCACAUUCAGCAGCUACUGGAUGGCUUGGGUCAGACAGGCUCCUGGAAAAGGACUGGAGUGGAUCGCUACUAUUAGUAAUGGUGGUAGCAGCCAAUACUACUCUAAUUCAGUCAGAAGCCGGUUCACCAUCUCCAGAGACGACAGCAGACAGCAGCUGUAUCUGCAGAUGAACAGUCUGAAGACUGAAGACACUGCAGUGUAUUACUGUGUCAAACACAGAGAGGCAGUCAGCGAGGGCAGAAAAAUCCAACGAGGGCAAAUCCACAAAAUCCAAAGAAAGUUCAAAACCGGGAAAAGCAAACAGGGAAAAUAA
Molecule: non-coding RNA, 450 nt
Organism: Labrus bergylta (ballan wrasse)
Lineage: Eukaryota; Metazoa; Chordata; Actinopteri; Labriformes; Labridae
Source: the annotation of a RefSeq genome assembly